Molecule: small nuclear RNA, 104 nt
Organism: Papio anubis (olive baboon)
Lineage: Eukaryota; Metazoa; Chordata; Mammalia; Primates; Cercopithecidae
Source: Ensembl
GUGGUCACUUUGGCAGCACAGAUACUAAAAUUGGAACAAUACAGAGAUUAGCAUGGCCCCUGCACAAGGAUGACGUGCAAAUUCGUGAAGUGUUCCAUAUUUAA